GACGAACGCUGGCGGCGUGCUUAACACAUGCAAGUCGAGCGGUAAGGCCCUUUCGGGGGUACACGAGCGGCGAACGGGUGAGUAACACGUGGGUGACCUGCCCUCAGCUCUGGGAUAAGCCUGGGAAACCGGGUCUAAUACUGGAUAUGACUCCAUGACGCAUGUUGUGGGGUGGAAAGCCUUGUGCGGCUGAGGAUGGGCCCGCGGCCUAUCAGCUUGGUUGGUGGGGUGANGGCCUACCAAGGCGACGACGGGUAGCCGGCCUGAGAGGGCGACCGGCCACACUGGGACUGAGACACGGCCCAGACUCCUACGGGAGGCAGCAGGUGGGGAAUCUUGCGCAAUGGGCGAAAGCCUGACGCAGCGACGCCGCGUGAGGGAU
Molecule: ribosomal RNA, 382 nt
Filed under: uncultured bacterium
Lineage: Bacteria
Description: bacterial SSU rRNA
Rfam family: Bacterial small subunit ribosomal RNA
Source: RNAcentral